Molecule: non-coding RNA, 913 nt
Filed under: Mixcoatlus melanurus
Lineage: Eukaryota; Metazoa; Chordata; Lepidosauria; Squamata; Viperidae
Source: RNAcentral
AGGUCUUGGUCUUGAACCUCACAUUACCUAAAACCAUCUGUUUAUACAUGCAAGCCUCACCACAACGGUGAAACAGCCAUAACCCAAAGCCCGGCAUCAGCCUAUUUAGCCACGACGCCAAGCAACAGCCACACCCCCACGGGCAACACAGCAGUAAUUAACAUUAGGCCAUAAGUGAAAACUUGACCAAGCAAGAUGGAUAAGAGCCGGUUAACCUCGUGCCAGCGACCGCGGUUACACGAUGGGCUCUAGGCAAUAUUAACGGCGUAAAAAUGACUAAAACUCUUAACAGUCUUCAGCCUGGGGAAGAAGUCGGACUGGGCUGUAAAAAGCCAUAAGCCACACUAAUCAUGCCCCAACACCACACAACUUUGACUCAUGAAAGCUAGGACACAAACUAGGAUUAGAUACCCUACUAUGCCCAGCCGUAACACACAAUUAAAUCACCAAUUGUUCGCCAAACAACUACGAGUCCUACUUAAAACUUAAAAGACUUGACGGUACUUCACCCCGCCCUAGAGGAGCCUGUCUAAUAACCGACAACCCACGAUUAACCCAGCCCCUUUUUGCCCAACAGUCUAUAUACCGCCGUCGCCAGCUUACCUUGUGAAAGAAAUAAAGUGAGCCAAAUAGUCCCACACUAAAACGACAGGUCGAGGUGUAACUCAUGAAGGGGCCCAAGAUGGGCUACAUUCUCCAACCGAGCACACGGACAACACUAUGAAACUAGUCUUUAAAGGCGGAUUUAGCAGUAAGAUAAGAAUAAAACACUUAACUGAACAUAACGCAAUGAAGUGCGUACACACCGCCCGUCACCCCUGCCACCACAAUAAUAAACCUUAAUAAAUCGACUAAAAAAUCCAAACAGGGCAAGUCGUAACAUGGUAAGUGUACUGGAAAGUGCACUUAGAAA